RNAcentral lists this ribosomal RNA (467 nucleotides) under uncultured bacterium. RNAcentral's name for it is "partial 16S ribosomal RNA". It matches the Rfam family "Bacterial small subunit ribosomal RNA", at positions 28 to 506 of the family's 1533-position model. The record is from RNAcentral.
GACGAACGCUGGCGGCGUGCUUAACACAUGCAAGUCGAACGGAAAGGCCCUGCUUUUGUGGGGUGCUCGAGUGGCGAACGGGUGAGUAACACGUGAGUAACCUGCCCUUGACUUUGGGAUAACUUCAGGAAACUGGGGCUAAUACCGGAUAGGAGCUCCUGCUGCAUGGUGGGGGUUGGAAAGUUUCGGCGGUUGGGGAUGGACUCGCGGCUUAUCAGCUUGUUGGUGGGGUAGUGGCUUACCAAGGCUUUGACGGGUAGCCGGCCUGAGAGGGUGACCGGCCACAUGGGGACGGAGAUACGGCCCAGACUCCUACGGGGGGCAGCAGGGGGGAAUAUUGCAAAAGGGGGGGAAGCCGGAGGCAGCAACCCCGGGGGGGGGAUGACGGCCUUCGGGUGGUAACCCGCUUUCCCGUGGGACGAAGGGGGGGGGAAGGGAAGGGGUAAAGAAGCACCGGCUAACUACGU